AAAAAAAAAAAAAAAAAAGGAUCUUCACUAUCUUUUUCUACCAUCAGAAGGGUGGUGGUGACAUAACAUUCCUUGCACCUGUAAGAAAGAGAACUGAUACAUCAUUCAUUUAAUAGAGACAUCACACCAUAAGCAAAUAAAUCAGCCAGCGAAAAAUAUAGAAGAUUAAUAUACAUGUGCACAAACAUGCUUGCAGAAUCUUAAACUUGGUGGAUGAUGAUUUAAGUCCAAAAAUGACAAAAGCAAGCAUAACACAUCAAUAAACACAGUAUAUGCGAAAAAUUGAAACUUAAGGUGCAAAACAAGUAGACUGAGGGGACAAAUCUAACAACAGGAAAAGACUUAUAUAAAGUUAAAUCACUCGAGAUCAAUGAAGACUGACCAAAGUGAUGAUGAAAUAAAUCACAGCAUCAAGAAAACCACUGGAAACUCAACAGAAGGGGUGAAAGUCAUGGCAAUAAAGGCUUGAUUUUCUUUUUUGCCCUAGGAUAGAUUCCUCAAGAUUUUCUUGGUCAUUCUCAUCAGUUUCAUUCUCUACAAUAGAUUCCUCAAAAGUUUCGAACUCAAUCUUAUCAUCUUGGAUUUCAACACAUGAAGAUUUAACAAUCAGUGCUCUGAAAUCUUCAAGUUGCUCUUCAAGCUCUUCACUAUCAAAUUCUUAUUUUGCAUCCUGUUGAUUUGUAAUUACAUCUUCAACAACUCUUGAUAUUGCUUCCAGCUUUGCUUUUAGCCUAUCCAAAGUUUAUCCAAGGUACUUCUCAUAUUUUCCUUGAGUUUUUUCUUCAAAUUAAACAUUGGAGUAAGCAUCAUAAGCCAAAUAGUUAGAAUUUGUUUGUGAUUGAAAUAAAGUUCUCCAAAAUGCUAUAUAUUCUUUCCUCCUUAGUUCAAGUUCUCUCUCCCUAACUCACAAAAAUUAUUUUAUAAAAUAAGUCAGGAGGACAAUAUAGAGCACCACCUUGUAGUCAUUUAAUUACAGCCUACACGAAGUCUAACCAAGGGGGGAAAAACACACACACACACACACAAUUUAAAAGUCUUAUCAGCCCUAAAUAUUUGUUUCUACUCAAAAUAAAUGUGAAAAUUGGAAACAGAAUCUACUGGCACCACAGGGUGCUGAUGUGGCACUACUUGAUGAUGUGGCAGGGUGCUGGCACAGGAUCAGGUGCAAAAAGACUCACAGUAGCAAUUUGAGCUACUAUUGAAGCAGACUUGACCCAACUCGGAAUGUGAGGGCGUGUUAAUGGUCAGACAAGCAAUCCAACCAUGGCAAUGUGAUGAUUGGCACGUGCAAACCUCCGGGGAGUGUUGCACUAACAAAAUCAAGGUCAAAGUUCAUUCAGGUCGAACUCAACCUGAAUGAAAACUAGAUUUGUGGUGGCUUCUAACAGUCAAAGCUACACCAGUGACGUCACUUGGACAAGAGCAGUUGCUUGGCAGUGCAGUUGUCUAGUGACCAAACAUAGUGGCUUAUGAUUACAAUAACUAGGCUUUAUCUCACGACAGAAAUAGAAAACAGGGCUCUGACCUCUGCGAAAGAACUCAUCAGGUGAGGGGCUUGUAAACUUGCGGGAAAUGCAAUGGCAUUGGG
This 1588-nucleotide unclassified non-coding RNA is filed under the name Hevea brasiliensis (rubber tree). Lineage: Eukaryota; Viridiplantae; Streptophyta; Magnoliopsida; Malpighiales; Euphorbiaceae. The record is from RNAcentral.